GUUGACCGCCUGGGGAGUACGGCCGCAAGGUUAAAACUCAAAGGAAUUGACGGGGACCCGCACAAGCGGUGGAUUAUGUGGAUUAAUUCGAUGCAACGCGAAAAACCUUACCUACCCUUGACAUGUACGGAAUUCCGCAGAGAUGUGGAAGUGCCCGAAAGGGAACCGUAACACAGGUGCUGCAUGGCUGUCGUCAGCUCGUGUCGUGAGAUGUUGGGUUAAGUCCCGCAACGAGCGCAACCCUUGCCAUUAGUUGCUACAUUCAGUUGGGCACUCUAGUGGGACCGCCGGUGACAAACCGGAGGAAGGUGGGGAUGACGUCAAGUCCUCAUGGCCCUUAUGGGUAGGGCUUCACACGUAAUACAAUGGUCGGUACAGAGGGCAGCCAACCCGCGAGGGGGAGCUAAUCCCAGAAAGCCGAUCGUAGUCCGGAUUGUAGUCUGCAACUCGACUGCAUGAAGCCGGAAUCGCUAGUAAUCGCGGAUCAGCAUGUCGCGGUGAAUACGUUCCCGGGUCUUGUACACACCGCCCGUCACACCAUGGGAGUGGGUUCCACCAGAAGUAGGUAGCCUAACCGCAAGGGGGGCGCUUACCACGGUGAGAUUCAUGACUGGGGUGAAGUCGUAACAAGGUAAGUAUU
This 640-nucleotide ribosomal RNA is filed under the name uncultured bacterium. RNAcentral describes it as "bacterial SSU rRNA". It matches the Rfam family "Bacterial small subunit ribosomal RNA", at positions 864 to 1504 of the family's 1533-position model. The record is from RNAcentral.